This 460-nucleotide ribosomal RNA is filed under the name uncultured bacterium. Its description in RNAcentral is "partial 16S ribosomal RNA". It matches the Rfam family "Bacterial small subunit ribosomal RNA", at positions 338 to 795 of the family's 1533-position model. The record is from RNAcentral.
CCUACGGGUGGCAGCAGUGAGGAAUAUUGGUCAAUGGGCGCGAGCCUGAACCAGCCAAGUCGCGUGAGGGAGGAAGGCCCUACGGGUUGUAAACCUCUUUUGCCGGGGAGCAACGGGCGCCACGUGUGGCGUCACUGAGAGUACCAGGAGAAAAAGCAUCGGCUAACUCCGUGCCAGCAGCCGCGGUACUACGGAGGAUGCGAGCGUUAUCCGGAUUUAUUGGGUUUAAAGGGUGCGUAGGCGGAUCGUUAAGUCAGUGGUCAAAUUGAGGGGCCCAACCCCUUCCCGCCAUUGAAACUGGCUAUAUUGAGUGGAAGAGAAGUAUGCGGAAUGCGUGGUGUAGCGGUGAAAUGCAUAGAUAUCACGCAGAACCCCGAUUGCGAAGGCAGCAUGCCGGCUUCCGACUGACGCUGAGGCACGAAAGCGUGGGUAUCGAACAGGAUUAGAUACCCGGGUAGUC